This 368-nucleotide ribosomal RNA is filed under the name uncultured Glomeromycotina. Its description in RNAcentral is "partial 28S ribosomal RNA". The record is from RNAcentral. Lineage: Eukaryota; Fungi; Glomeromycota.
GUCAACAUCCUUAACGAAUGUAAUCACGUUCUAACCUGUUGAACGUUAUCUUAGAUAACCGUAAGCACGCUUUCGGCACCUGAGCAACUUUCAGAGGCCAGACGGAUAGCCCAAAGGGUAUUCGUUGCAAUCCUCAGUCUCAAUCACCACAUCUACCAGAGGCUAUAACACUUCAACCGAAAUCGAAGCUACAUUCCGCCGGUCAUUUUAUGAUAAUCGAAACUGACGUUGGCCUACCAUACGAAAAAGUACACCCAAAACGCACAAACAUGCAAACAGCGAGGCCGAAACUCACGCACGCCCACAAGUUCGCACACGGUAAGUUGAUUUCUCGUCGGUACGACUGACUUCAAUCGUUUCCCUUUCAA